RNAcentral lists this transfer RNA (48 nucleotides) under Leptotrombidium imphalum. RNAcentral's name for it is "tRNA-Tyr". Lineage: Eukaryota; Metazoa; Arthropoda; Arachnida; Trombidiformes; Trombiculidae. The record is from RNAcentral.
GUAAGAGCCAAAAUAAUUGUAAAUUAUUAAAAGAGAGAUCCUCUUUCA